AAUCAACGCUGGCGGCGUGCCUCAGACAUGCAAGUCGAACGCGAAAGUCCCCUUCGGGGGACAAGUAGAGUGGCGCACGGGUGAGUAACACGUAGGUAAUCUACCUUUGGAUGGGGAAUAACAACCGGAAACGGUUGCUAAUACCGCAUAAUGCAGCGGCACCUAAUGGUGACAGUUGUUAAAGCGGGGGAUCGAAAGACCUCGCGUCUGAAGAGGAGCCUGCGGCGGAUUAGCUAGNGGUAAGGUAAUGGCUUACCAAGGCUACGAUCCGUAACCGGCCUGAGAGGGCGGUCGGUCACACUGACACUGACAUACGGGUCAGACUCCUACGGGAGGCAGCAGUCGGAAUUUUGGGCAAUGGGCGAAAGCCUGACCCAGCAACGCCGCGUGAAGGAUG
RNAcentral lists this ribosomal RNA (397 nucleotides) under uncultured bacterium. Its description in RNAcentral is "bacterial SSU rRNA". It matches the Rfam family "Bacterial small subunit ribosomal RNA", at positions 32 to 410 of the family's 1533-position model. The record is from RNAcentral.